CCACAAUCAAACGGUUCUGUUCGCCCCAUCGCAGUAGUGAACCUCAUGCGAAGAAUCUGGGCGACGACCAUUCUCAAAGCCACCUUCGAACCAAAAUUUCUCCUCCCCUUCCAGACGGGGCUCAUGUCGGCAGCCGGAGUCGAGCAAAUUGUCAGUGCAGUUUGAACGAAUGAAAGGUUCACUGUAUUGCCAUCGUAUUCAUCUUUCCUCUCUAACGCAUCUGAUACGUCGAAUGCUUUCAAUGGCGUCGACAGGAAGGAAAUGGCGAUUGUGGUAGCUACCGACUCGCCCAAACUCUGAAACAUGUAAAUGGUCCUACAGCAACCCGUUGGCGCUGGUUUGCGACGGGCAUGUACUAUCUUCCUCCUGGAGGUUCGGCAGGGAGACCCUUUCAGCCUGUCCUCUCCUCCUUAGCCCUACACCCACCCUUACCGAAUUUUCCAAGCACGUUCGGCCCCAUUGUCAAAUGACUGCAUACCACGAUGACGUCUUCAUCUUCUCGCCGACAACAAAGUGCUCAAUGAAACCAAGCCAUUCCUAACCUCCGAGAGUCGUAUAUUAAGACUCAACGAGGGAAAAUGGCCAAGGGGCUGCGAGUAAUACAUGAAAUAGGCUCCACCAUUGGGUACAAUGGUUGGCAGCACAACGAGGCGCAGAACCUUCUUGUAACACCAAGUCAACAAAGAAACCACAAAAAUUCCCAAACUUCAACCCCUUCUGGCCCAGCGUGAGCUCCCCGUCUUCCCUGGAAGAUGCCUAAAAUUGCCUUGUUCAAGAUCUACGGGCCAUAUGCAACGGUCAUGUCUUACUACAUUCGAGAAGCAUGGAUCCCGCUUGACAAGCCUUCUGGGAAGAGUUCCACUGCCUUCGCUUAGCCAAGGGUAUGUUGUUCCGCCCUGUCUUGAAGCCGAAAGAUACUCCCUUAUCAUCUUACCUACCCGUUACGGAAAGCUGGGGCUACUAUCACGCUAUGUCAUCGCUCCGGCGGCCUGAGCGACAGCCAAACGAGAGGACGACAAGGUCGUGAACAAGGUAUUUCAACAACUCCUCGAGACGCAGGAGACAGAUGGGGAAGACCCGUUUCUGAUUAAUAAUGCAAGAUGUGAGAAGACAUACGGAAAUCAGCGAAGAGGGACUGCUCGAAUGAAAGAUGACGAGAGGAAAUGCAUUGUCG
Molecule: small RNA, 1174 nt
Filed under: Cryptococcus neoformans H99
Lineage: Eukaryota; Fungi; Basidiomycota; Tremellomycetes; Tremellales; Cryptococcaceae
Description: Cryptococcus neoformans var. grubii H99 hypothetical RNA
Source: RNAcentral